RNAcentral lists this ribosomal RNA (260 nucleotides) under uncultured bacterium. Its description in RNAcentral is "partial 16S ribosomal RNA". It matches the Rfam family "Bacterial small subunit ribosomal RNA", at positions 1241 to 1500 of the family's 1533-position model. The record is from RNAcentral.
AAAGAGAAGCAAUACCGUGAGGUGGAGCAAAACUCAAAAAAUGAUCUCAGUUCGGACUGUAGGCUGCAACUCGCCUACACGAAGUUGUAAUUGCUAGUAAUCGUGGAUCAGCAUGCCACGGUGAAUACGUUCCCGGGUCUUGUACACACCGCCCGUCACACCAUGGGAGCUGGUAACACCCGAAGUCAGUAGUCUAACCAUUAAGGAGGACGCGGCCGAAGGUGGGUUUGGUAAUUGGGGUGAAGUCGUAACAAGGUAGC